Long non-coding RNA from Gasterosteus aculeatus aculeatus (three-spined stickleback), 684 nucleotides. The record is from Ensembl. Lineage: Eukaryota; Metazoa; Chordata; Actinopteri; Perciformes; Gasterosteidae.
GGUUUGGGUAUCCUAGGGAGGUUUUCCAGGCAUCGCCUGCUGGGAUGAGGCCCUGGGGAAGACCCAGAACAAGGUGGAGAUUAAAUCUCCAUAUUGGCCCGGGAAUGCCUUAGGAACCCAGUCAGGUGAGAAUGCUUGAGAACGGUAUACCAUCAUCUCCCAAACUAUGGCAAUGGAACUGGACGCAAAGCAGCUGCAAUGAGUACAAGGCCCUGAUUGUUGGAGGGGAGCCUCAGCCAGUGAAACAGUGCCAUGGAGGGGGAGGGAGAAAAGGAUGAUGGAGGGACCACACAUGUCUUCAUGGACAGGGGAUCCCCCUCUAACUAGUGGACUUUACUGAGGCCUGUGGGAAUCAGCUGCCUGUGUAAAGUCUUCAACACGGGGUCCAUGACGGUGGUAGGACGCUCCGGAGGAAUCUCACACCAGGACCGAUUAGAAAGACCUACAUGCUAACAGCAUUGUCUUCCUCUCGCCGAUGGACCGAUCAGUGCGAUAAAGCUUCUUGUGAAAGCGGACGGGCUUGAAACAUCCUUCCCCCCAUGCGGCCUUGUGCUGACACGUAAAGCUGGCCUACCACAUAAUGAACCAAGCAGGAAAUAUCGCUUCAUCACUGCAAUAUCAUGCCAACAUUAGUUUACAGCUUGCAAGUAUUAUAUUAUAGUUGUAUAUUUGUGCAUUACAUCC